This 253-nucleotide ribosomal RNA is filed under the name uncultured bacterium. RNAcentral describes it as "partial 16S ribosomal RNA". It matches the Rfam family "Bacterial small subunit ribosomal RNA", at positions 524 to 776 of the family's 1533-position model. The record is from RNAcentral.
UACAGAGGUCUCAAGCGUUGUUCGGAUUCAUUGGGCGUAAAGGGUGCGUAGGCGGCUCGGUAAGUCGGGUGUGAAAUCUCGGAGCUUAACUCCGAAACUGCAUUCGAUACUGCCGUGCUUGAGGACUGGAGAGGAGACUGGAAUUUACGGUGUAGCGGUGAAAUGCGUAGAUAUCGAGAGGAACACCUGCGGCGAAGGCGGGUUGCUGGGCCGACACUGACGCUGAUGCGCGAAAGCCAGGGGAGCGAACGGG